AUAAUGUCCUGUGUGGCAGGCCUAUUCCCCUGGGUGUCUCAUGGUGCCCCAUGCCAGAGCAAACUGUGGAUCCAAACCAUGGCUGGCCUCUCCCUGUAGGGGUGGCACUGAAGUGGGUUUCACAGUG
This 127-nucleotide small nucleolar RNA is filed under the name Castor canadensis (American beaver). Its description in RNAcentral is "Small nucleolar RNA SNORA42/SNORA80 family (ENSCCNG00000005823.1)". The record is from RNAcentral. Lineage: Eukaryota; Metazoa; Chordata; Mammalia; Rodentia; Castoridae.